AAUAUUGGUCAAUGGACGCAAGUCUGAACCAGCCAUGUCGCGUGCAGGAUGACGGCCCUAUGGGUUGUAAACUGCUUUUUUACAGGAAUAAUUGUCGCUACGUGUAGUGAUUUGAAUGUACUGUAUGAAUAAGGAUCGGCUAACUCCGUGCCAGCAGCCGCGGUAAUACGGAGGAUUCGAGCGUUAUCCGGAUUUAUUGGGUUUAAAGGGUCCGUAGGCGGUUCUUUAAGUCAGUGGUGAAAUCCCAGAGCUCAACUCUGGAACUGCCAUUGAAACUGAAGGACUUGAAUAUGGUUGAGGUAGGCGGAAUACGUUAUGUAGCGGUGAAAUGCAUAGAUAUAACGUAGAACACCAAUUGCGAAGGCAGCUUACUAAGCCAUUAUUGACGCUGAUGGACGAAAGCGUGGGGAGCGAACAGGAUUAGAUACCCUGGUAGUCCACGCCGUA
RNAcentral lists this ribosomal RNA (447 nucleotides) under uncultured marine bacterium. Its description in RNAcentral is "bacterial SSU rRNA". It matches the Rfam family "Bacterial small subunit ribosomal RNA", at positions 360 to 804 of the family's 1533-position model. The record is from RNAcentral.